RNA transcript from Musa acuminata AAA Group (dessert banana), 4523 nucleotides. RefSeq lists it as uncharacterized. The transcript is spliced from 8 exons. NCBI's taxonomy places the organism in Eukaryota, Viridiplantae, Streptophyta, Magnoliopsida, Zingiberales, Musaceae. The record is from RefSeq and is a predicted model, not a curated record.
AAUGGCGAAAAGGAGGCCUCUCUCUGCCGUUCUUCCCCAGCACCCCCCGGGACAAUCUUCUCGAUGCUGUCCAAUUCCCGACCCCGGCAGAUCCUCUUCCUGGAACACUGGCUUCGAGCGGCGGCCGCUACUGACGCCUCUCAAACUCCUUCUCCUGCUGCUGCUGCUCCUCCUUCGGCGGCUGUGAUCCUCCGGUCGUGGGCCGACCUCCGUGACCCCUCCGCCGACCCUCCUCGCCUACUCUCCGCUCUCCUUACACUCUCCCGCGGCCGCUCCGCCCUCCACGUCUCCGACCCCCAGGCCAAACUCCUCCUCUCCCUGCUCCCUUCCUCCUCUCCUGACGCCUUCCCCCUCGUCCUUUCCCUCCUCUACACCUAUCUCCGCAAGUCCUCCCGCCCUUCCCCUCCCCUCCUUCUCUCCAUCCUCUCCGUCUCCUCCUCUUUUCCCCCGUCGACUCACUCCAUCCUCCUCCUCGGUGCCCUCUCCGCCUCCCCCGCUCUCCCCGCCUCCGCCCUCUCGCCCUGCCUCGACCACCUCUGCUCUUUCUUGGAUUCCUCCCUGCCCGCGAUUUUCCGUGACGCCGACCUUCUCCCAGAAUUUCUCGCCGGCAUCGGCUACGCCCUCUCCCGAUUGGAGGACGAUGCGCGUCUUGGAAAAAUCCUUAACUUCUUGUUUCGGAUUUGGUCCGCCGAAGCCGGCGGGCUUCGACCCUCGCUCUCCCAUGGCCUUAUGGUUCUGCGCUUGUUCGAGUGGUGCACGUCGGGGUUCCUGGCUUCAAGGUCUUGGAGCAGAAUUGAGUCGCUCUGCGGAGAGAUCUCAGCGAACAGGAGCAAAUCCAGGGGGAAUUUCGCUCCCCUUUUGGUGUUGAUGGCUCCUGCCGGAGUUCUGAGGGCUUUCAGAAGCAAUAGGGUUGAAAUUGACCCUCGGCUGAGGAAGUCUAUCGAAGAGUCGAUAAGUUAUGUCGCAGAGUGCACCAUUUCUAGAAUUGGGACUGAUUCUGGUUCUAAUGUAUCGGAUGACAGCCAUGUUCUGCUGCAGUGCAUUGCAAUUGGUUUGGCUCAGUGCGGCUCGAUUUCAUUCAAUGCGUCUGUGCUUCGGUGCCUUUGUCUCUCAUUGUUGAACGAAGUCUUUCCCCUGCAGUAUUUCUUUAGGAUGUCCUUAGAAAAUGUGAAUGAAAAUUCGGCCACCUGCAAGGCAAAGGAGCAUUUAGGUAGUGCCCUUUUUAAAGAAGCAGGUGCAGUGACUGGAGUCUUCUGCAAUCAGUAUGCAUCUGCAGACGAGGUCAGCAAGGCAAUGGUUGAAAACCAUUUGUGGGAUUAUUCUCAACAGGUUUACUCGAAUCUACGUUUAGCAGCAUGGGUUCAUCGAGGGAAGAGUGAUGAGUUGCUCGGGGAUUUGGAAAAGAUUGCCGAAGCUGCAUUCUUGAUGGUAGUUGUUUUUGCUGCAGAGGUUAGCAAACAUAAGUUGAAUAGCAAAUCUUCUCAUGAGUUCAGACCGGAGGUCUCUUCUAGGAUCCUUGUUGCAUUCUCUUGCAUGGAGUAUCUUCGUCGUGUUCGCCUGCCCGAGUAUACCGAGGCAGUUCGCCGUGCUGUUUUAACCCUCCAGGAGAAUGCAGAUUCAUGUGUUUCAUUUGUCGAGUCAAUGCCUCCUUACACCGAGCUAACAAAAGCACAGGGCUCAAUUAUAUUGGAGAGGAUGAGAUAUAUUUGGUCACAAGAUGAAGUGCAGACUUCUCGUAUAUUAUUUUACCUGCGGGUUUUGCCAACUUGCAUAAGUUUUGUCCCUACCUCCUUGUUUGGGAAACGAGUAGCACCGACCAUGUUCUUAUAUAUGCAACACCCUAAUGAAAAAGUAACCCGAGCUUCACACUCCAUAUUUGUUUCUUUUGUAUCCUCUGGCAAGGAUUCCGAUCAGGAUGAUAGAGUUGUUUUAAAGGAGCAACUUGUUUUCUAUUACAUGCAGCAAGCUUUGCAGGUUUAUCCCAGGAUUACACCAUUUGAAGGUUUGGCUUCUGGUGUUGCUGCUUUGGUCAGGCAUCUUCCUGCUGGAAGUCCAGCAAUAUUUUAUUGUAUUAAUAGCCUUGUGGCAAAAGCUUCUGACCUUUGUGGGAAAGCCAUGAGUGAAGAUCCAACCAUGUGGAAAAGUUGGGAAGGAAGUUCAGGACCUCCUAAAAAGGUCCUGGAUCUUCUACUUCGCCUCAUUUAUCUUGUAGAUAUACAGGUGUUGCCAUACUUGUUGAAGCAAUUGGCAGAAUUCAUAAUCCAGCUGCCUAAAGAUGGUCAGAAUGCACUACUUGACGAGAUGUAUUUUCAAGUUGCCGAGUCAGAUGAUGUCACUAGAAAACCAGUUCUGGUGUCAUGGCUGCAGUCACUCUCCUUCAUAUGCUCGCAAAAGAAGGCUUCCUCCACAACUGAAGCUGCCGAGAAGCAUGGGAGCUCUGUGCCAAGUAACGAUGGCUUAAGUUGGUAUAGAACUAGCGCUCGGCUCUGAAGUGGGAGUCAUUUUCAAAAGUCAGAUCCUUCAGAAAUGGCCGUUCAAAGCAGAGACCUGCUUGCUUGUUCAGAUGGAACCUGAAGAAACGGAGGGUGGCGGCGGCCAUAAUCUUCAUCUGCCUGUACGCGAAGUCUUUCCCCAGGCAACUCCGAGGGCCCGCCUAUCACAAAGAAAGAGUUCGAGUUCAGAGAUUCAUCGGAAGAAUGGUUGGCUGAUGUUACUGCUGCUGCUUACAUGGAAGGCGACAAACUUGAAUGGACUCUGCGGCUUGAAACUUCCAUUCUCGAUCCAUCUCUCAGGCCUGAAGUCUUCAGCAUCUUCACCCCAAAUGUACGUCAUCCUCCCCAUGGCGUAGGUCAGGUAAGUGAUUCCGUCUCCCUUCUUCACCUCAAAGCCAUCAGGUAGCACAUCAUCUUCGUCUGCACUCUUCCCAUCCUGUCACGAAGCACGCCGUCAGAUAUGAUCUCCCGGAAGCUGAUGCGGGAGAGGUAAUGAUCGUACCACAGGAACAGCUGGAUAGAGCCUUAAGGUCUCGGUGAGCGCGGCAUGGAGAUACUGCAUCUUGUCGAUGGCUUCGUCGGUUAAGCUCAUGGCGAACUCUGCCAUGUCCGACUUGUUUCCUUCCGCCUUGGUCGCGUCUUCCACCUCGGCUGCGACCUUCUCUUGUAUCGAUGGGUGCUUGCACAGCAGGUAGAAGAACCAGGUGAGGGUGUUCGCGGUGGUGUCCUUCCCGGCCAUCAUGAAGUUGAGAAUCACGUCCCUCAGUGCUUCGAACAAGAUCAAGGUCACAAGCAAAGGAAAGAUUUUGCAGGUGUUCUUGAUCAUUUACCCUGUCUUCUUCGCCGUUGUUCAUCUGGUCUCUCUUGCGGCGGAUGAGUUGGAACACGAAGUCAUCGAUCACCUUGAUGUUCCUCUUCAGCCGAGCCUCGAUGCCGACGUCGAGACGCCUUUUGACCUUCCACAAGACGUCGACGUACCUCCAGAACACGAUGGAGUUGGCGUCGUCGAAGGCCUCGCUGAAGCGAGCCCCCAACUCAUCCGAUCCCGAGAGGGUGUCGAGCUCAACGCCGAACCCCACCUUGAAGAUCGAGUCCAGCGUCGCCUUCAUCAGAAGAUCUUGCAUGUCGAAGACACUCGCGGUGGCGGCGGCGUCGGAGAUCUUCUGCGCCAGCUUUGCGGCGAUCGACCUGAACACGACGCUGCUGAAGUCCCGAAGGACUCUGGCGGAGAACUCGAAGCUGGCGAGCUUCCGCUGGUGGCGCCACUUCUCGCCGUCCACCGCGAAGAUCCCAUCGCCGAACAGAUCCCUCAUGACGGUAUAGUUGCCCUGCCCCUGGUGGCACGAUACACACACACACGCAUCAGAUCAUGAAGACCAAGAGCAGGGAGCAAGACGAGGAAGACGACCGGACCUUGCUGUACUUGGAGAAGUUGGUCUUUAGAACAUGCUCGACGUUGGCCGGAUCGGCCGUGUAGAUAUCGCUGUGAGAGGGUGCGAUCAGCCGAAAGGUCUUGUGCCGGCGAGCGACGGCGGUCUGGAAGUCGAAGAGGGCGUUGAAGUGGAUCAGCAGGUGGAAGAUGGUGCCGGCGAUGGGAGGUCUGUUGGAACCUUGGAUCGACUCCUUGGCGUAGAAGACGAUGAACAGUAUGAUCCAUCCGACAACGCACAAGAGUAGCCCUGCCAAGGCUGCUUUCAGAAGAUAGAACGCAAGGUGGAGGAGCAGAGAAGCCAUCAAGAUGAAGGAUAUGCCGAGAAAGUUUGCUGCUGGAGCAAGUUAGAUAUCCAUCUAAGGUGCGUCGACCUUGUCGUGUUGGAUCGUUCGUCAUAGCCAAUCAAGAACAAUACACAGGACAUACAAGUCUAAAGAAUUACGAAAUUGGUUCGUUUGAUUAUCGAGUUGAGAUAACUCCUAGGCAAUAGAACACAAUUCUCUUGCAUAGUUAGAUAACUUCCAGGCUGGGGGUAAUAUCUCUUGUAUUUAGUUGCCUUGGUUCAUAUAUUUUAAAAAAUUAUAUUAUUAUCUUUAUAA